CUCAUGGAGAGUUCGAUCCUGGCUCAGGAUGAAUGCUGGCGGCAUGCUUAACACAUGCAAGUCGAACGGGAAGUGGUGUUUCCAGUGGCGAAUGGGUGAGUAACACGUAAGAACCUUCCCUUGGGAAGGGAACAACAACUGGAAACGGUUGCUAAUACCCCGUAGGCUGAGGAGCAAAAGGAGAAAUCCGCCCAAGGAGGGGCUCGCGUCUGAUUAGCUAGUUGGUGAGGCAAUAGCUUACCAAGGCGAUGAUCAGUAGCUGGUCCGAAAGGAUGAUCAGCCACACUGGGACUGAGACACGGCCCAGACUCCUAUGGGAGGCAGCAGCGGGGAAUUUUCCGCAAUGGGCGAAAGCCUGAUGGAGCAAUGCUGCAUGGAGGUGGAAGGCCUACGGGUCGUCAACUUCUUUUCUCGGAGAAGAAACAAUGACGGUAUCUGAGGAAUAAGCAUCGGCUAACUCUGUGCCAGUAGCCGCGAUAAGACAGAGGAUGCAAGCGUUAUCUGGAAUGAUUGGGCGUAAAGCGUCUGUAGGUGGCUUUUCAAGUCCGCUGUCAAAUCCCAGGGCUCAACCCUGGACAGGCGGUGGAAACUACCAAGCUGGAGUACGGUAGGGGCAGAGGGAAUUUCCGGUGGAGCGGUGAAAUGCAUUGAGAUCGGAAAGAACACCAACGGCGAAAGCACUCUGCUGGGCCGACACUGACACUGAGAGACGAAAGCUAGGGGAGCAAAUGGGAUUAGAGACCCCAGUAGUCCUAGCCGUAAACGAUGGAUACUAGGUGCUGUGCGACUAGACCCGUGCAGUGUUGUAGCUAACACGUUAAGUAUCCCGCCUGGGGAGUACGUUCGCAAGAAUGAAACUCAAAGGAAUUGACGGGGGCCCACACAAGCGGUUGGAGCAUGUGGUUUAAUUCAAUGCAAAGCGAAGAACCUUACCAGGGCUUGACAUGCCACGAAUCCUCUUGAAAGAGAGGGGUGCCCUCAGGAACACGGACACAGUGGUGCAUGGCUGUCGUCAGUUCGUGCCGUAAGGUGUUGGGUUAAGUCUCGCAACGAGCACAACCCUCGUGUUUAGUUGCCACUAUGAGUUUGGAACCCUGAACAGACCACCGGUGUUAAGCCAGAGGAAGGAGAGGAUGAGGCCAAGUCAUCAUGCCCCUUAUGCCUUGGGCGACACACAUGCUACAAUGGGUGGGACAAAGGGUCGCGAUCUUGCGAGGGUGAGCUAACUCCAAAAACCGUCCUCAGAAAAAAUGAAAUUGGCUGAUAUCAUGACAAUAUUAGGUAGUAUAGAUAUCAUUAUGGGGGAAGUUGAUCGUUGAAAUGAUAAUAGAUAGGGUAGAGGUAGAAACUCUCAAUUCUUUU
Molecule: ribosomal RNA, 1362 nt
Filed under: Brachypodium distachyon (stiff brome)
Lineage: Eukaryota; Viridiplantae; Streptophyta; Magnoliopsida; Poales; Poaceae
Description: Bacterial small subunit ribosomal RNA
Rfam family: Bacterial small subunit ribosomal RNA
Source: Rfam by way of RNAcentral